Molecule: ribosomal RNA, 372 nt
Filed under: Escherichia coli
Lineage: Bacteria; Pseudomonadati; Pseudomonadota; Gammaproteobacteria; Enterobacterales; Enterobacteriaceae
Description: bacterial SSU rRNA
Rfam family: Bacterial small subunit ribosomal RNA
Source: RNAcentral
AAGAGUGGCGAACGGGUGAGUAACACGUGGGUAACCUGCCCAUCAGAAGGGGAUAACACUUGGAAACAGGUGCUAAUACCGUAUAACACUAUUUUCCGCAUGGAAGAAAGUUGAAAGGCGCUUUUGCGUCACUGAUGGAUGGACCCGCGGUGCAUUAGCUAGUUGGUGAGGUAACGGCUCACCAAGGCAACGAUGCAUAGCCGACCUGAGAGGGUGAUCGGCCACACUGGGACUGAGACACGGCCCAGACUCCUACGGGAGGCAGCAGUAGGGAAUCUUCGGCAAUGGACGAAAGUCUGACCGAGCAACGCCGCGUGAGUGAAGAAGGUUUUCGGAUCGUAAAACUCUGUUGUUAGAGAAGAACAAGGAUGA